AUUCCAGCUCCAAUAGCGUAUACUAAAGUUGUUGCAGUUAAAAAGCUCGUAGUUGGAUUUCAAAUCUCUCUUGGGGUUCCUUUUCUAAAGAAAUGUGCGACCAUUCAAGAGAGAUUAUCCUCGUGCCUAGCCUUUCUCACUUUCAUUAGUCAGGAAGGGGACGCACGUCAUUUACUGUGAGCAAAAUAGAGUGUUCAAAGCAGGCUUAGGCCAUGAAUAUAUUAGCAUGGAAUAAUAAGAUAGGACCUUGGUCUAUUUUGUUGGUUUACAUUCCAAGGUAAUGAUUAAUAGGGAUAGUUGGGGGUAUUCGUAUUCAAUUGUCAGAGGUGAAAUUCUUGGAUUUAUGGAAGACGAACUACUGCGAAAGCAUUUACCAAGGAUGUUUUCAUUA
This 391-nucleotide ribosomal RNA is filed under the name Chrysophyceae sp. Its description in RNAcentral is "partial small subunit ribosomal RNA". It matches the Rfam family "Eukaryotic small subunit ribosomal RNA", at positions 582 to 975 of the family's 1831-position model. The record is from RNAcentral. Lineage: Eukaryota; Chrysophyceae.